This 315-nucleotide ribosomal RNA is filed under the name Triticum aestivum (bread wheat). Its description in RNAcentral is "partial small subunit ribosomal RNA". The record is from RNAcentral. Lineage: Eukaryota; Viridiplantae; Streptophyta; Magnoliopsida; Poales; Poaceae.
AUGAAGACCAAGGGCCCAUACCCUGUCCACAAGGGUGGGGGGCGCGCCCCCUCCUGGGCGCGCCCCCCUACCUCGUGGGCACCUUGGAAACCCUCCGACGCCAAUUCCAACUCUAUAUAUUCGCUUUCGGAGAGAAAAAAAAUCAGAGAGAAGAAAUCAUCGUGUUUUACGAUACGGAGUCACCGCCAAUCCCUAAAACCUCUCGGGAGGGCUGAUCUGGAGUCCGUUCGGGGCUCCGGAGAGGGGGAUUCGUCGCCGUCAUCAUCAUCAACCAUCCUCCAUCACCAAUUUCAUGAUGCUCACCGCCAUGCGUGA